GAUUAUUCUACCAAGAACAAGCAACUCAAAGUGAAGAGCCUUUCUGUGUUUUUCUGUUACAGCUCUCCUCUUUCUCCCACCUACUUGUGCACAUGUGCCUGGACAGAGAUGCAUACAGUGUACACAUAUAUAUGUGUAUACACAUUUGCAUGAGCUUACAUCUCUACUUAUACAAUAUUUAUAUAGGAUCCUGAUUGUGGAAACCCCAGAUGUAUGAAUGAGGACAGUCACCUUGAGAAGUAUCCCUGAAGUCUGGCAAGGAGAAGCUGCACAAUCUGUGCUGUACCACAGCGGCUGAAGGUUUUGGCUGCCAUCCUCUGCAGGGAAACGAAGGCACAGAGAUGCUGAAGGACACAUCCCAGUUUUAUAAUUUCCUACGUGCUGGAAGUAGGACAGAUGAAUGCUAUGAAAUGCUUAGCAUCACUUUCCCUGGAAGAGAAAGUGAAAUUCAGGAAGGUGGAUCAGGAAAACAGCAUUCUCCUGCCACAGGGAAACAUGGAAAAGUGCAGAAAGGGACAAGCAGGAGAUUUCCUUGGCCUUUUGGAACAUUCCCAGCUACUGAGGGCACUGUCAUACUAUGUGGCAUAUCUGGCACAAACAAAUAUUCUCAGUUUAUUCAGCAAAGAAGACAAUCACCUAUGGCAUCCUUCUGCUGCUCUGGAUGUACAGCUACCCAUGCUUCAGAAGAGAAAACUCCAGUAUUGCUACUCUCAUACAGGUUCAACAGAGGAAGAACAAACCCAUUGCAACAGCAAAAAGAAUCUCUUCAGCAGCUGAGAUCUCUUCACUUGUGGGUAGAAAGCACAGAGAAAUAAAUAUCGCAAGAAUGGCGCUAAGGAUAAGAUAGACCUAUUUAUAUUUAAUAGGACUUUGCAGACUUCUGUGGCCUGAUUGCAGUGACAUGGUGUGCAAAUGAUAUAAUUUCUUUGGAUUAAAAGGAGUUUCUCUUUUAUUUGGAGUUAGCCAGAAAAAGCUCUGAAAUCACCAGAUUGUACUGCUAUUUAUCGGGAAAAUUCUUAUUGGAAACAUCUGAGUUUAUCCCUUCAGGCAUAGUUAGGCCAUAUGUAGUCAUAGCAUUUCAAAUUUUGCUUGGAGCAUAAAUAUGAGGCUAGACAAUUGAAAAAGAGUCUUUAUACAUCCUUACAAUUUAUGUUUUAGCAUAUAAUGAGCAAGUGUUCCCAUGUAUGAAGAUUAGGUACUUAUUUCCUCUGAAAGCCAAUGGUCAUGGAUUUUCUCAUCAUAAACGGUGUACUUUCAUUUCCUCUCUUGCUCUUUGUAUGCACCUCUCCAUUGUUAAACAAUUAAGUAGCAGAAGCUGUUAAUAUUAUGUUAAAAAAUUCAUCCUAUUUCACGGGUUUUUUCCAGUCUUGUUACACUAUUUUCAUGUGAAAACAUGGGUGAAAACACUUAGCAAAACAAAAGAUGCAAAAUAUCAGAAGUAGGACAUUUGUAGAUAAGCUUCAAAACCUAUUGCCAUAGGAAUUAAAGAAUGAAAACCAUCAACACGUUGUAUCUUCUAAGAGUUUUUUCUUGUAUAUAUAUGAACAUUUGUUCUGCUUUAAAAGAUGUAUGUGUAUGAAGCGUUUCUCAAUAAAAAGCAUCAAAAUCAUGCA
RNAcentral lists this long non-coding RNA (1613 nucleotides) under Cyanistes caeruleus (blue tit). RNAcentral's name for it is "lncRNA (ENSCCEG00000012977.1)". The record is from RNAcentral. Lineage: Eukaryota; Metazoa; Chordata; Aves; Passeriformes; Paridae.